GGCUUAACACAUGCAAGUCGAGCGGAAACGAUGAUAGCUUGCUAUCAGGCGUCGAGCGGCGGACGGGUGAGUAAUACUUAGGAAUCUACCUAGUAGUGGGGGAUAGCUCGGGGAAACUCGAAUUAAUACCGCAUACGUCCUACGGGAGAAAGCAGGGGAUCUUUGGACCUUGCGCUAUUAGAUGAGCCUAAGUCGGAUUAGCUAGAUGGUGGGGUAAAGGCCUACCAUGGCGACGAUCUGUAGCUGGUCUGAGAGGAUGAUCAGCCACACCGGGACUGAGACACGGCCCGGACUCCUACGGGAGGCAGCAGUGGGGAAUAUUGGACAAUGGGGGGAACCCUGAUCCAGCCAUGCCGCGUGUGUGAAGAAGGCCUUUUGGUUGUAAAGCACUUUAAGCAGUGAAGAAGACUCUUCGGUUAAUACCCGGGGACGAUGACAUUAGCUGCAGAAUAAGCACCGGCUAACUCUGUGCCAGCAGCCGCGGUAAUACAGAGGGUGCAAGCGUUAAUCGGAAUUACUGGGCGUAAAGCGAGCGUAGGUGGCUUGAUAAGUCAGAUGUGAAAUCCCCGGGCUUAACCUGGGAACUGCAUCUGAAACUGUUAGGCUAGAGUAGGUGAGAGGGAAGUAGAAUUUCAGGUGUAGCGGUGAAAUGCGUAGAGAUCUGAAGGAAUACCGAUGGCGAAGGCAGCUUCCUGGCAUCAUACUGACACUGAGGCUCGAAAGCGUGGGUAGCAAACAGGAUUAGAUACCCUGGUAGUCCACGCCGUAAACGAUGUCUACUAGUCG
Molecule: ribosomal RNA, 786 nt
Filed under: Psychrobacter sp. K0-4L-004
Lineage: Bacteria; Pseudomonadati; Pseudomonadota; Gammaproteobacteria; Moraxellales; Moraxellaceae
Description: bacterial SSU rRNA
Rfam family: Bacterial small subunit ribosomal RNA
Source: RNAcentral